CGAAGUUUCCCUCAGGAUAGCUGGAGCUCGCGUGCGAGUUUUAUCGGGUAAAGCCAAUUAUUAGAGGCAUCGGGGGCGCAACGACCUCGACCUAUUCUCAAACAUUAAAUAGGUAGGACGUCGCGGAUGCUUUGUUGAGCCGCGCCACGGAAUCAAAAGCUCCAAGAGGGCCAUUUUUGGUAAGCAGAACUGGCGAUGCGGGAUGAACCGGAAGUCGGGUUACGAUGCCAAACUGCGCUAACCUAGAUCCCACAAUGGGUGUUGGUCGAUUAAGACAGCAGGACGGUGGUCAUGGAAGUCGAAAUCCGCUAAGGAGUGUGUAACAACUCACCUGCCGAAUCAACUAGCCCCGAAAAUGGAUGGCGCUAUAUAUACACAUAACAUAAUUAACAUUAAAUUAAUCAGCUUUAUGAAAUUUCAAUGUUG
Nicotiana attenuata is the source of this 426-nucleotide ribosomal RNA. It matches the Rfam family "Eukaryotic large subunit ribosomal RNA", at positions 962 to 1384 of the family's 3401-position model. The record is from Rfam. NCBI's taxonomy places the organism in Eukaryota, Viridiplantae, Streptophyta, Magnoliopsida, Solanales, Solanaceae.